This 337-nucleotide unclassified non-coding RNA is filed under the name soil metagenome. RNAcentral describes it as "partial contains 5.8S ribosomal RNA, internal transcribed spacer 2, and large subunit ribosomal RNA". The stretch from base 1 to 120 matches the Rfam family "5.8S ribosomal RNA", at positions 35 to 154 of the family's 154-position model. The record is from RNAcentral.
GAUGAAGAACGUAGCGAAAUGCGAUGAGUAGUGUGAAUUGCAGAAUUCAGUGAAUCAUCGAAUCUUUGAACGCACAUUGCGCCCCUUGGUAUUCCAUGGGGCAUGCCUGUUCGAGCGUCAUUUGUACCUUCAAGCUCUGCUUGGUGUUGGGUGUUUGUCUCGCCUCUGCGUGUAGACUCGCCUUAAAACAAUUGGCAGCCGGCGUAUUGAUUUCGGAGCGCAGUACAUCUCGCGCUUUGCACUCAUAACGACGACGUCCAAAAGUACAUUUUUACACUCUUGACCUCGGAUCAGGUAGGGAUACCCGCUGAACUUAAGCAUAUCAAUAAGCGGAGGA